Molecule: ribosomal RNA, 499 nt
Filed under: uncultured bacterium
Lineage: Bacteria
Description: partial 16S ribosomal RNA
Rfam family: Bacterial small subunit ribosomal RNA
Source: RNAcentral
GACGAACGCUGGCGGCGUGCCUAAUACAUGCAAGUCGAGCGAAGUUUUUCUGGUGCUUGCACCGGAAAAACUUAGCGGCGAACGGGUGAGUAACACGUAAAGAACCUGCCUCAUAGACUGGGACAACUAUUGGAAACGAUAGCUAAUACCGGAUAACAGCAUUAACUGCAUGGUUGAUGUUUGAAAGUUGGUUUUGCUAACACUAUAAGAUGGCUUUGCGGUGCAUUAGCUAGUUGGUGGGGUAAAGGCCUACCAAGGCGACGAUGCAUAGCCGACCUGAGAGGGUGAUCGGCCACACUGGGACUGAGACACGGCCCAGACUCCUACGGGAGGCAGCAGUAGGGAAUCUUCCGCAAAGGGCGAAAGCCUGACGGAGCAACGCCGCGUGAGUGAAGAAGGAUUUCGGUUCGUAAAGCUCUGUUGUUAGGGAAGAAUGAUUAUGUAGUAACUAUACAUAGUAGAGACGGUACCUAACCAGAAAGCCACGGCUAACUACGUG